Molecule: long non-coding RNA, 141 nt
Filed under: Dromaius novaehollandiae (emu)
Lineage: Eukaryota; Metazoa; Chordata; Aves; Casuariiformes; Dromaiidae
Description: lncRNA (ENSDNVG00000010413.1)
Source: RNAcentral
AUGAAGUUMUCUCUGAUACACGUGUCUUAGAGAACUCUAUCUGUAUGCUGGGAAAAGCACAACUCAGAGCACAUUUUUCCUCCUAGGGACAGAGCUCCUAUCAAGUUCUAUGAAGGGAUAAAGGACUUUCCGAAGGCUCCA